GAUCAUGGCUCAGGACGAACGCUGGCGGCGCGCCUAACACAUGCACGUCGAACGAGCGAGAGAGAGCUUGCUUUCUCAAGCGAGUGGCGAACGGGUGAGUAACGCGUGAGGAACCUGCCUCAAAGAGGGGGACAACAGUUGGAAACGACUGCUAAUACCGCAUAAGCCCACGGCUCGGCAUCGGGUAGAGGGAAAAGGAGCAAUCCGCUUUGAGAUGGCCUCGCGUCCGAUUAG
RNAcentral lists this ribosomal RNA (234 nucleotides) under uncultured bacterium. Its description in RNAcentral is "partial 16S ribosomal RNA". It matches the Rfam family "Bacterial small subunit ribosomal RNA", at positions 15 to 244 of the family's 1533-position model. The record is from RNAcentral.